UACAGAGGGUGCAAGCGUUAAUCGGAAUUACUGGGCGUAAAGCGCACGUUGGCGGUUUUUUAAGUCAGAUGUGAAAGCCCCGGGCUCAACCUGGGAAUUGCAUUUGAAACUGGGAAACUAGAGUGUGUGAGAGGGGGGUAGAAUUCCAAGUGUAGCGGUGAAAUGCGUAGAGAUUUGGAGGAAUACCAGUGGCGAAGGCGGCCCCCUGGCACAACACUGACGCUCAGGUGCGAAAGCGUGGGGAGCAAACAGG
This 253-nucleotide ribosomal RNA is filed under the name uncultured bacterium. Its description in RNAcentral is "partial 16S ribosomal RNA". It matches the Rfam family "Bacterial small subunit ribosomal RNA", at positions 524 to 776 of the family's 1533-position model. The record is from RNAcentral.